CGGCGACCAUAUCUGGAAGGCCAUACCUGUUCCCAUCCCGAACACAGAAGUCAAGCUUCCAGAGCCGAUGAUAGUGCCCACCAGUGCGAAAGUAGGUAUCG
This 101-nucleotide ribosomal RNA is filed under the name Pirellulaceae bacterium. Lineage: Bacteria; Pseudomonadati; Planctomycetota; Planctomycetia; Pirellulales; Pirellulaceae. The record is from RNAcentral.